UGCAGCCAAAAGCGACCCCGACUUCAAAGCCUUCCUGGACGAGCGCAACCCCAAGCAGCAGCAUUCGUCCACGCUGGAGUCGUAUCUGAUCAAGCCCAUCCAGAGAGUCCUCAAGUACCCUCUGCUGCUCAGGGAGCUCUACUCGCUCACCGACCCGGACAGCGAAGAGCAUUACCACCUGGAUGUCGCCAUGAAGGCCAUGAACAAAGUGGCCAGCCACAUU
This is a long non-coding RNA of Hippocampus comes (tiger tail seahorse), 223 nucleotides long. RefSeq lists it as uncharacterized. The record is from RefSeq and is a predicted model, not a curated record. Lineage: Eukaryota; Metazoa; Chordata; Actinopteri; Syngnathiformes; Syngnathidae. The transcript has 2 exons.